ACGUAGGGGGCGAGCGUUGUCCGGAAUUACUGGGCGUAAAGGGAGCGUAGGCGGUUUAUUAAGUUAGAUGUGAAAUACCCGUGCUUAACAUGGGGGGUGCAUCUAAUACUGGUAGACUUGAGUGCAGGAGAGGAAAGUGGAAUUCCUAGUGUAGCGGUGAAAUGCGUAGAUAUUAGGAGGAACACCAGUGGCGAAGGCGACUUUCUGGGCUGUAACUGACGCUGAGGCUCGAAAGCGUGGGGAGCAAACAG
RNAcentral lists this ribosomal RNA (251 nucleotides) under uncultured prokaryote. Its description in RNAcentral is "partial 16S rRNA". It matches the Rfam family "Bacterial small subunit ribosomal RNA", at positions 525 to 775 of the family's 1533-position model. The record is from RNAcentral.